AAUGAACGUUGGCGGCGUGGAUUAGGCAUGCAAGUCGAGCGAGAAGUCCUUCGGACGGACAGCGGCGAAAGGGAGAGGAAUACGUAGAAUCUACCCCUCGAGACCGGGAUAGCGUCGGGAAACUGGCAGUAAUACCGGAUAAUGUCUUAGGACCAAAGGUGUGAUUCCACUUGGGGAUGAGUCUACGCCCUAUUAGCUAGUUGGUGGGGUAAUGGCCUACCAAGGCGAUGAUGGGUAGCGGGUGUGAGAGCAUGAUCCGCCUCACUGGGACUGAGAACUGCCCAGACACCUACGGGUGGCUGCAGUCGAGAAUCUUUGUCAAUGGACGAAAGUCUGAACAAGCGACGCCGCGUGCGGGAUGAAGGCCUUCGGUUGU
This 376-nucleotide ribosomal RNA is filed under the name uncultured bacterium. RNAcentral describes it as "bacterial SSU rRNA". It matches the Rfam family "Bacterial small subunit ribosomal RNA", at positions 29 to 426 of the family's 1533-position model. The record is from RNAcentral.